This is a long non-coding RNA of Sciurus carolinensis (gray squirrel), 1126 nucleotides long. RefSeq lists it as uncharacterized. Lineage: Eukaryota; Metazoa; Chordata; Mammalia; Rodentia; Sciuridae. The record is from RefSeq and is a predicted model, not a curated record. The transcript is spliced from 3 exons.
GGCAUAACAUACUGGUACAUUCAAUUAGAAUGCAGCAGUAGAAAGAGAGAGAAGUUGAAGCAACCCAGAUGUCUGAAGAAUGAACUGUGGAAAAGAAAAUAAAGGACAACUUACUUUGGUCAGUAUCAGAAUUCUGCCAUGUGUUGACUUAGACUUCAAAGCUGGUGUGGGUGAGGGUGAUGAUGUUGGUGGAGCUGCAAGAUGAAAGCAGCUGGAUCCUUGCAUCAAUGUGGAGAAAGCUGUCUGAAGGCAUACUUCAUGGAACUGGGAACUUAACAAGUUCUGAACUUCUAUGAUGCUGCAACCUUAUAUAGUACAUCAGAUUCCACCCUCAUGCUGCUGCUUGGACCUCAGUUUCUCCAUUUGGACAUCUUUACUCCCCAAGGAUUUGCUACAUCUGUAUGGAAUCAGUCUCUGGAUCUUCAGACUAGUGCUAAAUCCAUUGGCUACACUUUUAAAUGCCUAUCCAUAGGCCCCAAACCUUCCCAUUAAACAAGGUCAGGCAGGAGCUUUGCUCUUAAAUAUACUGUUUGUUCUUAUACAUAUCAUUGAUUAUCAAUACAUUCUGAAUGUUCUUGCCUUGCUUUUCACUUCCAUAACAUUUAUUUGGUAACACUUUGUAUUCUGAAUGAAUACUUUUUACAUUCUGUCUUUUUCUGAAAAGGGUUAAAGAAGCUCCAUUAGUUAACCUUCUCUAAUGCCACUUAAGCAACUGGAGAGCAGCUGUUAUGUCAGACACUUCUCUCCAGAUCCCAAAGCACCUACAGAAUGGCAGAAAAGUGAUUACGGAUAUUAGAAGUCAUGGAUUGCUGACAGGUAAUAAGUAGCAAUCCUCCUCUUAAAAUAAAUUAAACCAGAAGUUAAUUUUCUUCUCAAAGAAGUUAAUAUAGACUAAUAGUCAUUAUUUGAAAAAAUUAAAAUAAAUGGAUAUAAUCAUUAAAAACAAUAGUGACACUUUAUGCAAAAUGAAGUAGAAUAAAAUAAGACUAGAACUCCUUGACAACAGCAACCCUAUCUUAGUUAUCUGAGCAUCCUGGUGUCUAGCAAGGGCCAAGGAAAAUUAAGUGCUCUAAAACUAAUGAAUGCAAAACUUACUCUAUUCAAACAAAAUAAAGAAUUAAAAAAG